RNAcentral lists this ribosomal RNA (370 nucleotides) under uncultured organism. RNAcentral's name for it is "partial 16S ribosomal RNA". It matches the Rfam family "Bacterial small subunit ribosomal RNA", at positions 527 to 896 of the family's 1533-position model. The record is from RNAcentral.
GGAGGAGGCAAGCGUUGUUCGGAAUUACUGGGCUUAAAGCGUGCGUAGGCGGGAUGGCAGGUGUCGUGUGAAAGCCCUCGGCUCAACCGAGGAAUUGCUCGGCAAACCGUCAUUCUUGAGGCCAGCAGGGGGACCUGGAACUUUGGGUGGAGCGGUGAAAUGCGUAGAUAUCCAAGGGAACGCCGGUGGCGAAAGCGGGGUCCUGGGCUGGUUCUGACGCUGAGGCACGAAAGCGUGGGUAGCAAACAGGAUUAGAUACCCUGGUAGUCCACGCUGUAAACGAUGCGCACUAGGUAUCAGCGCCUCUGACGGGGUUGGUGCCGCAGCGAAAGCAUUAAGUGCGCCGCCUGGGAGUACGGCCGCAAGGCUA